AAUCUGGGGUCCCCGACCCCCGAGUUGUAAUUUGGAGAGGCAUCUUCGGGAGGAGCGCCAGCCCAUGUUCCUUGGAACAGGACGUCGCAGAGGGUGAGAAUCCCGUGCCAGGCCGGCUGCCUCCCCCCCAUGUGAAGUGCCUUCGACGAGUCGAGUUGUUUGGGAAUGCAGCUCCAAGUGGGUGGUAAAUUUCAUCUAAAGCUAAAUACCGGCGAGAGACCGAUAGCGCACAAGUAGAGUGAUCGAAAGAUGAAAAGCACUUUGAAAAUAGAGUCAAAAAGUACGUGAAAUUGUUGAAAGGGAAGCGCUUGAGACCAGACUCAGAUUGAGGCAAACAUCUAGCCCCGCGGGGCGGUGCACUUGCCUCGAGCUGGGCCAGCAUCAGUUGGCGUGGCGGGACAAAGGCGCGGGGAAUGUGGCACCCCCCGGGGUGGAACUUAUGUAGCCCCGCGCUCAAUGCCGCCUACGUCGACUGAGGACCGCGCUUCGGCUAGGAUGCUGGCCUAAUGGCCUUCAGCGACCCGUCUUGAAACACGGACCAAGGAGUCUAACAUCUAUGCGAGUGUUUGGGUGCCAAACCCUUGCGCGGAAUGAAAGUGAACGGAGGUGGGAACCCCGCCAGGGGCGCACCAUCGACCGAUCCUGAUGUCUUCGGAUGGAUUUGAGUA
RNAcentral lists this ribosomal RNA (668 nucleotides) under Dissingia oblongispora. Its description in RNAcentral is "partial 28S large subunit ribosomal RNA". It matches the Rfam family "Eukaryotic large subunit ribosomal RNA", at positions 119 to 796 of the family's 3401-position model. The record is from RNAcentral. Lineage: Eukaryota; Fungi; Ascomycota; Pezizomycetes; Pezizales; Helvellaceae.